This 2645-nucleotide long non-coding RNA is filed under the name Podarcis lilfordi (Lilford's wall lizard). Lineage: Eukaryota; Metazoa; Chordata; Lepidosauria; Squamata; Lacertidae. The record is from RNAcentral.
CAGAUAUGUGCCCGUAACUAACUUGGUCCAAAGAAUGAGUUUACAUUGCAGCUGGACAAGCCCAUUCCUAGCACAACUCUUCUCCUAGCAAAGUAGAACAGAGUUUCACAAUAGUAUGGUAAAGCAAAGGUAGGGAAACUCCAGGCUUGUGGAACCUACAUUGCAGUAGUACCCUGUUUGCUGAGUGCCCUGCUACUUGGUUUGUUUGUUUACUAGAACCUUGAAAUGCACUGACCCAGAUCAGUGAAAGACAUGCAUUUAGCAUUAAAGAAUUCUGAGCCCCAAAAUUUAUUUGAGUAUCGGAACUCGAUGAAGCUCAUGGUUCUUCCAUUCCCCAUCUGACUUCACUUCAACCAUAAAAUUUCGGAAGAGGGAAUAUUUUGUUACUUCUAUCAUUAAGCAGUCCUUCCUAACUUACCAAGUCACCUGGAAAUCUACCCAUAGAUGGAGAGAUCUACGUUCUGCCCACGCUCGUCUGAGAGACAACUCUGCCUCCAUCCCAACAAACAAGCACAGAUUCCCUUCUGGAGCUUUCACUUUAUUUAUUUGUUUAAAUAUUUAAACGGAACAUUUUGAGCCCGCCCAAACAACCCAGCAACAAAACAGUGUAGGAGCCAUGUUGGUCCAUAAAGGGGGGGGGGGGAUCUAAAAUUACCAUACCUAAAUGUCAGUGUAGUUAUUAUGAGCAACCAAAUGUCACCAAAUACUGAAGACGCUUUCAGGUUAUCCUAGAUGGCUAGAUGUUAAACAAAGCAGUCAGAGGAGGGGAAAGGGGGAAAAACACACACAUUUGGCUUGAUGGUGAAGAUGCAAGGUCUGCAUUUAGUCACAGUCUGAAGAUGGAGUUCAGGAAGAGAUAGCAGAAGAAAUUGGAUUAGGCAGGCUUUACUCGGUGCUUUGCAGGUUUCAGGUUGUACCUAUGACUGCACAAACAAAGAAACAAGUAUUGGCUGAUAACCCUGGUUUUUUAAAAUAAUAAUAAUAAUAAAUAAACCCAUCAGUUACCUGGCUUUUUGUACCAUACCAUUCAAAGGCAAAUCACAACAUAAAAACUGGAUACAUUUUUUUUUUUAAAAAAACACAAUAACCCAGAGGUGGAAAGAAGACAUAGUCCCCACCAGAGAAGAAUGGCAGAUUAAAUUGAUGGAUUAUGCCGAAAUGACAAAAAUGAUCGGAAGAAUUAGAAACCAGGAAGACCUAAAUUUUAAUAAGGAAUGGGGAAAAUAUAUAAUUCACCUUAGAAAUCGUUGUAAACUAUUAAAAUUAUUAGUAGGAUUGGGAUGUUACUUGUAGUUGAAUGUUGAAUUAUGGUUGUAAUGGAGAUUUAAUAGGUGAUUUGGAUUAAUAGAGAAGAUGCAGGAGGAAAAAAGUUAACUUAAGUACCCACAAAGGGGAGGAGGGAAGUCCAGGUGAAUCUAUGAGAUUCUCUUUUUAUUUUGGUUGUUUGACAAUUGUUUGUAAAUUUCAAAAUCUGAAAAAUUAUUUUUUUAAAAAACAACAACCCACAAAAGUAUUUCUUUGUAUUUUUUAAAAGCAGCUUUAAAACCCUGUUUUAAAACCCAGAUAUUUCCUAUAAUAAAAUUGUAUUUGCUACUAGAAAUACAACAGCAAAGGGUGCUCUUUUGGGGGGAAAGGGAGUUCCUGAGAGUGGCAAAGGCCUUACUUAACCUGUCCUGCUGUAUCUCAGAUAGCGCAGGGCUCCUGAGCAGAGCGGCGGUAAUAGAACUGCGGUAUUGACAUCUUUUGCCAUGUCAGCCUUGCAGCUAGAGCCUGUUCCUGGAGUUCAUCUGUGGGCAUCAUGUGUUGUUUCCUUGCACUGCAGUCACCUAUCGGUUUAUUACCUGUAAUAAACAAGCCACUUACGUUUGACUAAUUAGAUCUAAGCCAGUAAAUGGCUUUGAUGCAAGUAUUCCCUCUUAAUUGAAUAAGUCUUCUAACAACACUCAAGUAGGGCAUGACUUUCUAAGGACUGUUUUGACUACCAUCGAACAACUUGCAGUGCCAGGCUAGAAUACAAACAGGAUAGCUGUGCAAAGUGAUGGCUAAUGGAAAUUUCCUUUCAUUUUAAACUUGGCAAUGCUCAGAUUUUAAUUCUCUUACAAUGUAGUCAUAUCUAUCUAUCCAGAAGUAAGUCACAGUGAGUUCAGCGGGGCUUAUUCCCAAGUAUAAGUGGGUACAGGAUUGCAGCCUUAAGGGUGUUAAUUAAAUGCCACCUUUGCCAGUAAGUAUAUGCUCUUCUCUAUCACUUCUGCAUUGCUUUUCCCAUUCCCUGUCCACCCAAAAACAACAACAUGGCAAUGAUGCACUGUUGAUCACAUUCUUGACAAUUCGCCCUUCUUUGGGAUCAAGAGAAGGAAAAAACCAUAGCGCAACAAACUCAAGCCCUGAUUGAUUGCAGCUCCUUGCUGUUUUCACGACUGGCUGGCUCCAUCCUGUUCUUACGUCACAUUGUUCUGACAGCCAGGGUGAUGUAGUGUUCGCUGCACUUGGAAGCAGGGAGAGAUCUGUGUUCAGGUCUUCACUUAACCAAACAAAGCUUACUGAACGCUGGGCCAAUUUCACACUCUCAGACCAAGCUGCAUCUCAGAAUUGAUGAAACAAGUAACCACUUGUUGCCUUUAAUACUUUGCGGAAAGGUGGAAUAU